RNAcentral lists this ribosomal RNA (857 nucleotides) under uncultured bacterium. RNAcentral describes it as "SSU rRNA". It matches the Rfam family "Bacterial small subunit ribosomal RNA", at positions 524 to 1381 of the family's 1533-position model. The record is from RNAcentral.
UACGGGAGUGGCAAGCGUUAUCCGGAAUUAUUGGGCGUAAAGCGUCCGCAGGCGGUCUGUCAAGUCUGCUGUUAAAGCGUGGAGCUUAACUCCAUUUCGGCAGUGGAAACUGACAGACUAGAGUGUGGUAGGGGCAGAGGGAAUUCCCGGUGUAGCGGUGAAAUGCGUAGAUAUCGGGAAGAACACCAGUGGCGAAGGCGCUCUGCUGGGCCAUAACUGACGCUCAUGGACGAAAGCCAGGGGAGCGAAAGGGAUUAGGUACCCCUGUAGUCCUGGCCGUAAACGAUGGACACUAGGUGUCGGGGGAAUCGACCCCCUCGGUGUCGUAGCCAACGCGUUAAGUGUUCCGCCUGGGGAGUACGCACGCAAGUGUGAAACUCAAAGGAAUUGACGGGGGCCCGCACAAGCGGUGGAGUAUGUGGUUUAAUUCGAUGCAACGCGAAGAACCUUACCAGGGUUUGACAUCCUGCGAAUCUCUUGGAAACGAGAGAGUGCCUUCGGGAACGCAGUGACAGGUGGUGCAUGGCUGUCGUCAGCUCGUGUCGUGAGAUGUUGGGUUAAGUCCCGCAACGAGCGCAACCCACGUCGUUAGUUGCCAGCAUUUAGUUGGGCACUCUAGCGAGACCGCCGGUGAUAAACCGGAGGAAGGUGUGGAUGACGUCAAGUCAUCAUGCCCCUUACAUCCUGGGCUACACACGUACUACAAUGCUACGGACAAAGGGCAGCAAACUCGCGAGAGCUAGCAAAUCCCAUAAACCGUGGCUCAGUUCAGAUCGUAGGCUGCAACUCGCCUACGUGAAGGAGGAAUCGCUAGUAAUCGCAGGUCAGCAUACUGCGGUGAAUACGUUCCCGGGCCU